RNAcentral lists this long non-coding RNA (2130 nucleotides) under Zea mays. RNAcentral's name for it is "long non-coding RNA (ZMAY_LNC004710)". The record is from RNAcentral. Lineage: Eukaryota; Viridiplantae; Streptophyta; Magnoliopsida; Poales; Poaceae.
UUUUUUUUUGGUGAGAGAAAUGGUGAAAAAGUAGCAUUCAGGCAGGCUGUGUGAGCCACACAGAUGAUCAAAGGCCAACCACAACAAGACAAUUAUAACUCAAUUGCUCAAAAGUAGUGCAGAGCACACAAGAAAAAGGGGGUUCAGGAGAAGUCUGAAUAAAAUUACGUUUCCUUUGAUUGAUGCCUUCUUUAGCCUGUGCUGCAACAUCAUCUGAUCCUGAUGAGAGGCUUUCACUUUGAAAGGUCCGGUGGUUUCUUUCUUUCCAAACAUUCCACAUGAAGCCAUUGGUGCAGAUUUAUGCAGCAUAUAUUACCCUGAAAGUCCUUUUAUCUAUACUUUGCUUGUGUUUAACAAAUUCUGUGAUAGUGGAUGCGACAUUUUUCAGUAUCAGUAACUUUUGCCAAGUAAAAGGCAAUCAUAAUUUAUAGAUUCAUUGAGUUGAUCUUAUAUUGUACAACAAUGUUUUUUUCUGUUUAGUUACUGGACAGAAUAAAUCUUGUUUUUCAUCUUGGACAAAGAAUGUUUUUCAUUUAGAUACUUCGAAGAUCCUCGUUUUGUUAGCUUCAUUCACCUUGUUUUCUUAGCUUCAUUUAGCAAGUAGGGCCAAUAUGACACAAUGAUGUUGGGUAGCACAUCCUAUUAAUAGUUGUUGAAUUGCAAAAUGUUUGUGUAACAAAGGCACAAUGCUUAUAUUUUUGGGCAUAACAUUUAUAUUAUCUACCUUCAUUUCAUAUCUGCAAUAACAUCGCCCAUGUUUUAUUUAGAAGUACCACCUCAUUCUUUGCUCCAUUGUCUAUCACAAAAAAUGCUGACUUAGUACUGCAAGAAUCUGAUGUCAAAUUUUACAUCUAUAUACAAGAAGUCAAUAGUUUCUGAUUCCUUGGUGAUAUAAACCUUUUAUAUUUUAUAUUGUACGUACGAUCACUUAAAAGGUUAUCAUCAACCGUUUCAUCUUUAAAUUUAACUGAACAGUCUGGCAAAGAGGUAUCCAUAUGUGGUGGUGCGCGAGAUCUGAGAGGGGGCUGUUUAGUUUCUACUGUUAUUUUCACCUCAAUUCCCUCCAAUCACGAGUGGGGUUUGAAUUUUAUAAACUAGCCCUUACCUUGGUAUGAAACUGGCUGCACUAUUCUUGAUAUGCUUUUAUUCUACUAAAACUGCUACAAUAUAUAUCUGAUAAUUUCAAGCACACAAAAUUUUGUCCAAAAUCAUUGAGAUUACUUUCUCACGCACAAUGUAUCCACAACAUCAUAGCGAGUAGGGCAUGCCUUGCACUAUAUUGCGCCCAUAAAUAUGUUAUUGCGAGAAAUCAGUUAUGCAAUUUUCUGCGCAACAGAUCUGUUCAUUUUUUAUGAAAUCUUCUUAGUUGCCCUUGUUUUUGGCACCUGUAACAUUUCAUUCGCGUUUUGUUUUUAUGUUUUAGAGUCGGUUCGGUGACAAAGGAAUUGGAAAAGGAAUUGGAGGAGUUCCAUGGGAGGAAACCCCUUGCUAUUUAGCUUUGAAUAGUUUAUUUAAUUUUAAAUAGAAUGGAGUUUCCUUCCCAUAAAUCCCCUCCGCUUCUCUAGUCACCAAAUUAACUUUUCUUGGAGCUGGUUUGGUGGCAAUGAAAUUGGGGGAUUGAGGGAGAGCUUCCCUCUAAUCCCCUCCAAUUUUCUUGUCACCAAACCAGCACUCGGUAAUAUUUUUUCCCCAAAGGCAAUAGUAGUUCCGUCCCAAAGCAAAUCAACAGGAAAAAAUGUUUCACAGUGCUGAUCAUUGUGCUUCUAUUGGUGAAAGGAACAGGAGUUCCAUGCCCAACAAUUUCUGCUACAAGAAGAAAACUGGCAAAAGAUGAUCACAAAGAGCCCUACAGCCUGAUGCUCAGUCGAGCAAGGUCCUAGCUCUUUGAGAAAGGGAAAAAGAAAGAGAGGAUGGAUUGUAAUUGCAUCUCCGAAGAGGCUGCACUUAAAUAACAAUCGACUAAGAGGGGGAGACCAUAUGGAUAAAGUGCUGGAGACGGUCUAAGAGGAUGGCUUCAAUUAUGAUGGCUGAACCACUGAAGGAGCCAUGUUCUCCUCAGAUCGGCUGCUCCAGCAGAUGUCGCUGAGUGAAGGUCUUAGGCCCUUGCUGCAGAACAUCUCAUACUCCAGC